CAACUGAACCACCCAGGCACCCCUGCGUUAGGAAUUUUCAUGUAUUGUAUCUGAUCUUUCCAACAACUUUUCAAGAUUGGUUUCAUUAUAUCCUAUUUUAUAGAUAAGCAAACUCUAUAUAGAGAGAUUUUUAAGAGAGAAAAAUACUUUAAGGAAUUGGCUUAUGUGAUUGUGGAAACUAGCAAAUCCGAAAUCCUUAUGGCAGGCCAGCAGGUUGGAAAUUGGGAUAAAAGCGGAAUUUGCAGUCUUGAGUCUGAAUUCAGCAUGGCAGUAGGCUAGAAACUCAGUCAAGGUUUCUAUGCUGCAGUCCUGAGAAGAAUUUCUUCUGGAAACCUCAGUCUUUGCUCAUAAGGCCAUCAGCUGAUGGGAUGAUGCCCAUCCACAUUAUGGAGUGCAAUCUGCUUUAAUCAAAGUGUACUGAUUGUAAAUGUUAAUCACCUCUAAAAAUAUGUCUUAAAACUACAUCUAGAAUGGUGUUGACCAGACAACUGGACGUCAUAGCCUCCCCAAGUUGACUCAAGAUUAACCAUCACAGUGAGUUGGACAAAAUUUUACAGCUAGUAAGUGGAUAGACCAGGAAGCUAGAUAUCUCUGGGGUCAAAGGCCAGAAGUGGGUGAGCAAACUGUACACAGAGAGUACACAGUUGGCCGGUUGUCUUGGAUAGGGGGUGGGCCAAUGAGAGGGUAAAGUUGCACUCCAUAGAGAUAAUCUCUGGGCCAGAGGAGCUCUUCUAAGCUUCUAGACUGAGUUACAGUGCCAACUAACUAUGGGAUACUAGGCAAGUCACACCUCUUUGGGUCCAUUUUGUUUAUUAUUUCUCUUCUGAAGGGAGGGAUUGGAGUAGAUGGUCUUUUAGGUUCUUUCAAGCCAUACAUGCUAAUAUUCAAUGCUACAAAGAGGAAACACAAAUUUAUACUAUAACACUGUAUCACUACAUACCCACCAGAAUGGCUAAGCAUAGGAAGACUGAAAAUACCAAGUUUUGGAGAGAAUGUGAAACAACUAGAACUCUCAUAAAUCAGCAGCGGGAGUACCUGUUGGCACAACUACUUAGACAUUCACCAGGAGAUACUGUAAGAGCUAACUAUAUUCCUACUCUAUCAUCCAGCAAUUACAUUCCUGCAUACCUCAGACCCAAAAGAGACAAGCACAUUAGUCCCAAAAAGGCAUGCAUAAGAAUGAGCAUAGGAAAAAAAAAAAAGCAAAAGUGGGGAGAAGUUAAUUAAGUUUAAAUGAAGUCAUAAGGGGAGAACCUACUUCAAUAGGACUAGUGUUCUUAUAAGAAGAGGAAGAGAUACCACACACACACAAAGGAAAGGCCAUGUGAGGACUUAGGGAAAAGGCAACCAACCAUCUACAAACCAGGAAGAGAAGGUUCAUCAGAAAACCAAUCCUGAUGACACCUUGAUCUUGGACUCCUAGCCUCCAGAACUGUGAGAAAAUAAAUUUCUGUUAUUUAAACUAAAGGAGAAGAAAAGGAGAAGAGGAAGGAGAAGGGGAAGGGGUUAACAAAGUUACAACAUACAUAUAGUGAAAUUCACAAAUUUUACUGAUUUUUUGCAUAUGAAUAAACCUGUGUAAUUACUACCCAACUCAAGAACAUUUCCAGCAUCCCAGCAGAUUCCUUUGUGCCCAUUCUCAGCCAAUACUCCCCAAGGGCAACCACCGUUCUAACCUCUACCACUCCAGGUUGGGUGAUCUUGGGCAAGUCAACACACUGGAUCCAUGGAUUUUUUUAUCUGUACAACAGGACAAUAGCAGAAUCUCACCUGCUGUGAGGAUUAAACCAGGUAAUUUAGUGGCCAUUGGAUGGGAUUACCCUGAGUGCCCGGUGGAGGGAAAGAGAUGUCCAUAUGCAAGGGAAGAAGAAAUGCUGACUGCAGUCUGGAGCCUGUUAGCUUGAAAACACCAAGGUGCUCUUCAGGAAUCUUGUCUGACAAGGGGUCAGCAGGGGGCGCCCUCGGUAGCACGAGCACCCACCCCUGUAUACUGUCGCGGAAAGAGGAGCGCCCAUCAGUUUGUCAAUGUCACCCCGAAAUGAAAGUGCCUGGAUGGUGGCAGAACCCCCUGCUGAGGUGAAAGGGUCAGUAAUUCCAGGGCUGUGGGCUGGACGGCAAAAAGGGACCCAGAGAUGAGGAAGGGGAAAUGUUACAGUGGCCCCUUUCUUGAAGGCGGUGAAACCAGAGGGAAAGAGCGAGGCAGCUGUGGCCGGAGGGUGUUGUCCCCGCUCUUCCCCGCAUCUUCCCCGCCUCCUUAUCAUUGAUGGAGCUGUUGUGCUAAGCACUUCACAUGCGUUUCUUAAUCUUCCACUUAGAGUCUGGAGAUGAACCCACUCUUAGGAGCUGUGCGAUCCCGAACCUCUGUUCCCAAUUGUGAAAUGGGGACAUUAGCACCUGCCCCAGACCACUUUCCUUCCUUUUUAAUUUAAUUUUUAUUUUAUUUUCCAUAGAAAGCAGAAUAACUUAUUCCAAAGGAAGGCAGAGAUAAGAAAUUC
Molecule: non-coding RNA, 2495 nt
Organism: Callorhinus ursinus (northern fur seal)
Lineage: Eukaryota; Metazoa; Chordata; Mammalia; Carnivora; Otariidae
Source: RefSeq, a predicted model, not a curated record